This 482-nucleotide ribosomal RNA is filed under the name uncultured bacterium. RNAcentral's name for it is "bacterial SSU rRNA". It matches the Rfam family "Bacterial small subunit ribosomal RNA", at positions 501 to 985 of the family's 1533-position model. The record is from RNAcentral.
CUACGUGCCAGCAGCCGCGGUAAUACGGAGGAUACGAGCGUUAUCCGGAAUUAUUGGGUUUAAAGGGUGCGUAGGUGGCGUAUUAAGUCAGUGGUGAAAAGCUGCAGCUCAACUGUAGUCUUGCCGUUGAAACUGAUAUGCUAGAGAGGAGACGAGGUAUGCGGAAUGUGUGGUGUAGCGGUGAAAUGCAUAGAUAUCACACAGAACGCCGAUUGCGAAGGCAGCGUACCAGGCUCCGUCUGACACUGAAGCACGAAAGCGUGGGGAUCAAACAGGAUUAGAUACCCUGGUAGUCCACGCAGUAAACGAUGAAUACUAGAUUUUUGCGAUAUAGUGUAAGAGUCUAAGCGAAAGCGAUAAGUAUUCCACCUGGGGAGUACGCCGGCAACGGUGAAACUCAAAGGAAUUGACGGGGGCCCGCACAAGCGGAGGAACAUGUGGUUUAAUUCGAUGAUACGCGAGGAACCUUGCCCGGGAUUGAA